UUCCAGGGUACACGUGCAGGAUGUGCAGGUUUGUUACAUAGGUAAACAUGUGCCAUGUUGGUUUGCUGCACCUGUCAACUCAUCACCUAGGUAUUAACCCUGGCAUGCAUUAGCUAUUUUUGCUAAUGUUCCUCCCACCACCACCCUGCCCCAAUAGGCCCCAGUGUGUGUUGUUCCUCUCCCUGUGUCCAUGUGUUCUCAUUACUCAGUUCCCAAUUAUAAAUGAGAACAUGUGGUGUUUGGUUUUCCGUUCCUGUGUGAGUUUGCUGAGGAUAAUGGCUUCCACCUUCAUCCAUAUCCCUGCAAAGGACUUGAUCUCAUUCCUUUUUAUGGCUGCAUAAUAUUCCAUGGUGUAUAUGUACCACAUUUUCUUUAUCCAGUCCAUCAUUGAUGGGCAUUUGGAUUGAUUCCAUGUCUUUGCUAUUGUGAAUAGUGCUGCCAUGAAUGUAAACAUGCAUAUAUCUUUAUAAUAGAAUGAUUUAUAUUCCUUUGGGUAUAUACCCUGUAAUACGAUUGCUGGAUCAAAUGGUAUUUCUGAUUCUAAAUCUCUGAGGAAUCACCACACUGUCACUGUCUUCCACAAUGGAUUAACCAAUUUACUUUUCCACCAACAGUGUAAAAGCAUUCCUAUUUCUCUGCAACCUCGCCAGCAUCUGUUGUUUCUUGACUUUUUAAUAAUUGCCAUUCUGACUGGCAUGAGAUGGUAUCUCAUUUGUGGUUUUGAUUUGCAUUUCUCUAAUGAUCAGCGAUGUUGAGCUUUUUUUCAUAUUUUUGUUGGCCACAUGUAUGUCUUCUUUAGAAGUGUCUGUUCAAGUUCUUUGUCUACUUUUUAAUGAAUUUUUUCAUGUAAAUUUGCUUAAGUUCUUUGUGGAUUCUGAUUACUAGACUUUUGUCAGAUGGAUAGACUGCAAAAUUUUUCUCCCAUUCUGUAGGAUGUCUGUUCACUGUGAUUGAUGAUAGUUUCUUUUGCUGUGCAGAAAAAAAUGCCUAAUCAAAUUCUUUUCAUUUACAAAAAUGUGAAUCUCAUACUUCAAUAAACACAUCUAGCUUAGCAUGAUGCCAAUAAUUUUGGCUUGAUGCUGUAGCCCGAAAUAGUUAGUUCUAAUUGAGAAACAAGUUUUUUUCAAAAACUGGCUAUUUGAUGGGCAUUCUAUAAUAAACUUAACAUCUUUUGUUGUGGUAUUGAAUGAGAUGUGAUAGAAGUGAUUUGGACACAACUACGAUUCUAAAUAGCACUGCUAUUACAUGCUUCUGAAUUUUUUUUUCUUUUUAGCAGUCCUAUUCUGUUUUCCAUUCAUAUUUGCUAUUCCAUCAGUGGGUAUUCCUUCCUACUCUUUUCAUGUUUCAUUUAUUUUGAUCAAUGAUGUGCAUUUCCAAUCUGUAAAAGUUUAUUUCAGUUUAAUGUGUGGUAAAAUGUAACAUCAAAUCUUUGCAACAUGAAAUUAUCUUGCACAGCAGAUUGAACAUUGUAUCAUUGAAAAUCUAGAGAGAUGCCAGGGAGACAAGGAUCAAAUGACCUAUUUGUAGCCAAGGCCAUUUUCAUGGCAUCCUGGUCCUCUCUGUCACAUGGCUCCUUACAAUUCUCUGUGGUUUUCUUCCAAUGUAAGUAGUUCUUGUUAAGAAUCUUUGCAAUGAACUUUGAAAUUUUUUUCUUUUUCAUUUCUAUUAAAAACAGGUAUAUUUUAAUUUGGAAAACUCUGUUUAGGGAAUUAUAAUCAAGUAUCUACCAGGGUGCCCAGCACUGGUGUAAAACACAAAUCUGUAAAGCUACCCUGGGCUGCUACCCAGUCACCCCCUAGAAGGAGACCAUUGGGAGCAAGUCCCCCAAAAUCUGGCCAUAAACUGGCCCCAAGACUGGCCAUAAACAAAAUCUCUCCAGCACUGUAACAUGUUCAUAAUGGCCCUAACGUCCAAGCUGGAAGGUUGCGGGUUUACGAGAAUGAGGGGAAGGAACACCUGGCCUGCCCAGGGCAGAAAACCACUUAAAGGCAUUCUUAAGCCACAAACAAUAGCAUGAGCGAUCUGUGUCUUAAGGGUGUGUUCCAGCUGCAGUUAACCAGCCCAACCUAUUCCUUUAAUUCGGCCCAUCCCUUUGUUUCGCAUAAGGGAUACUUUUAGUUAAUUUAAUAUCUAUAGAAACAAUGCUAAUGACUGGUUUGCUGUUAAUAAAUAUGUGGGUAAAUAUCUGUUUGGGGCUCUCAGCUCUGAAGACUGUGAGACCCCCGAUUUCCCACUUCACACCUCUAUAUUUCUGUGUGUGUCUUUAAUUCCUCUAGCACCACUGGGUUAGGGUCUCUCUGACUGAGCUGGUCUUGGCAAGUGGUGUCCAUUUGUGGGGGCUCAUAUCCAGGUCGAAGGGUCGCCAGAGCAAUGGUUGGAAUGGGAAACUAGCUGGAGGACACCCGAGUACUCUUAAAGCAAUCCCUGUCGUGCGUAAGAAGGGGAGCUCGGAAGUGUCAGGGUAACAAUGGGACAGGUAUGGGGUCUGGUUCGUUUCACCUUGGAACUUUUUCACGCUGGUAAUGAGGAGGAACAAGAGUAUAGCGAAGUAACAGAAGAGGUUACAGAGCAUGUUUAUUUGCCAGCUAAAGCUAAAGCAGCAAAGGAAGGAGAGAUUCAUCCCUACCCUUCUGCACCCCCUCCUUAUUAUUUUGAUGAAAAUGAGCCCCCAGAUCUUUCUUUUCCGGAGGACACUGGGCAAAAAGUAAUUGCCCUAGUAACUGUUCGAGCAGCGCCUCGAGUGACAGCUCUUAGUUCUAUUCAGGCAGGAAUUCAGCAAGCUAGACAAGAGGGUGAUUUAGAGGCUUGGCAGUUCCCUGUUAGAAUACACCCCCUAGAUCAACAGGGAAAUAUUAUAGCUACAUUUGAGCCUUUCCCUUUUAAAUUACUCAAAGAAUUUAAACAAGCUAUUCAUACUGAAAAAGAAUGUAGAAAAAGUCAGUGAGUCAGGCCGCCAGACAGAGGAAAAAAGAAAACUGUUGAGCCUGAAAUAUGUCCAAAAUGUAAAAAAGGAAAACAUUGGGCUAGUCAGUGUCACUCUAAGUUUGAUAAACAAGGGAACUCGUUCUCAGGAAACACCAUGAGGGGCCCGUCCCGGGCCCCAUUCUAAACCAGGGCAUUUCCAGCUCAGGCCAUUCCCUCACCCCUGUACAAUGUCCUUCCCCAGCCACAGCUGGUAGUGCUGCAUUAGAUUUAUGCUGCACAAAAUCUGUGAGCCUUCUGCCUGAGGAACCCCAGCAAAAGGUCCCAACAGGAGUCUGUGGACCCUUGCCAGCAGGGAAAAUAGGAUUACUUUUAGGAAGGCCUAGUUUAAGUUUAAAAGGCGUACAAAUACAUACAGGAGUCAUUGAUUCAGAUUACAAUGGGGAAAUUCAAAUUCUUGUAUCUACUUCUGUUCCCUGGAAAGCAGAGCCAGGAGAGCAUAUAGCACAGCUCCUGAUUGUGCCAUAUGUGGGAAUGGGAAAAAGUGAAAUUAAAUGAACAGGAAGAUUUGGAAGCACAAAUAAACAAGGCAAAGCAGCUUAUUGGGUGAAUCAAAUUACUAAUAAACAUCCUACCUGUGAAAUAACUAUUCAGGGAAAGAAAUGUAAAGGUUUGGUAGAUACAGGAGCAGACAUUUCAAUCAUUUCUCUACAGCACUGGCCGUCCAUGUGGCCAAAUCAACCUGCUCAAUUUAACAUAGUUGGAGUUGGUAAAGCUGCUGAAGUAUAUCAAAGUAGUUACAUUUUGCAUUGUGAGGGGCCUGAUGGACAACCUGGGACUAUUCAACCAAUUAUCACUUCUGUACCUAUACAUUUAUGGGGAAGAGAUUUAUUACAACAAUGGAGAGCACAAGUUCUAAUUCCAGGUCAAUUAUAUAUCCCUCAAAAUCAACAAACAAUGCAUGAAAUGGGGUAUGUCCCUGGUAUGGGACUAGAAAAAAAUUUGCAAGGUUUAAAACAUUCCCACCAAAGAUUAAGAUAUCAUUUUUGAUGGUGGCUAUUGUUAAGCCUUCCGAACCUAUACCUUUAAAAUGGUUAAUGGAUAAGCCAAUUUGGAUAGAACAAUGGCCGCUAAGUAAAGGAAAACUGGAGGCUUUAGAGAAAUUAGUUGUUGAACAAUUAGAAAAUGGGCACAUAGCUCCAAUAUUUUCCCCUUAGAAUUCUCCAGUUUUUUUAAUUAAGAAAAAAUCAGGUAAAUGGAGAAUGUUAACUGACUUAAGAGCCAUCAAUUCAGUUAUACAACCUAUGGGAGCAUUACAGCCAGGAUUACCUUCUCCUGCUAUAAUUCCAAAAAAUUGGCCUUUAAUAGUCACAGAUUUAAAAGACUGUUUCUUUACUAUCCCUUUAGCUGAGCAAGACUGUGACCGGUUUGCAUUUACAAUUCCUGCAGUAAACAACCUGCAGCCUGCUAAGCGUUAUCAUUGGAAAGUGUUGCCACAGGGCAUGUUAAACAGUCCCACAAUUUGCCAGACAUAUGUGGGGCAAGCAAUUGAACCUACUUGUAAAAAAUUUUCACAGUGUUACAUUAUUCACUGUAGUUUGUGCUGCCCCCACUCAAGAAAUAUUACUUCAAUGUUAUGAUCACUUGCAAAAUUUGAUUUCUCGUGCUGAUUUAAUUAUAGCUCCUGACAAAAUUCAGACCACUACUCCCUACUCCUACUUGGGGACCUUAGUAAAUGACACUACCAUUGUGCCACAGACAGUAACCAUACGUAGGGAUCAACUAAAAAUAUUAAAUGACUUUCAAAAAUUACUAGGGGAUAUUAAUUGGAUACGACCUGCUCUAAGCAUUCCUACCUAUGCCAUGAGUAAUCUGUUUUCUAUCCUUAGAGGAAAUCCUAGUCUCACUAGCCCUCAGCAAUUAAUAAAGGAGGCAGAGGCAGAGUUACAACUGAUUGAGGAGCAAGUCCAUAAAGCUCAGUUAAAUAGAAUAGAUCCAGAGAAGACUCUAGAUUUGCUAAUUUUUUCAACUCAGCAUUCACCUACUGGUGUUAUUGUCCAAGAACAGGACUUAGUGGAGUGGCUUUUUCUUUCACAUACUAAUUUAUGGACUCUAACUCCUUAUUUAGAUCAAAUCGCUACUAUGAUAGGGAUUGGGAGAACUCGGAUUAUUAAAUUACAUGGAUAUGAUCCUGGAAAAAUUCUUGUCCCUCUCAUGAAGGCACAAAUAUGCAAGCUUUUAUAGUCUUACUUGGCAAACCCAUUUUAGCUUACUUUGUGGGUAUUCUCGAUAAUCAUUUUCCUAAAAUGAAGCUGUUUCAGUUUUUCAAAUUAACUAAUUGGAUUCUCCCUAAAAUAACUAAACCUAAACCAAUUGAAGGUGCUGAGAAUGUUUUUACAGAUGGGUCUAGUAAUGGUAAAGCUUCUUAUUCUGGCUCAAAAAGUAAAGUUUUUCAGACGCCCUACAGCUCAAAAAGCAGAGCUUGUAGCUGUAAUUGAGGUAUUGACGCUUUUGAUAUGCCUAUUAAUGUGAUUUCUGAUUCUUCAUGGAUGGUUCACUCCACACAGUUAAUUUAAAAUUCUCACAAUUUCAUACAGAUGAACAACUGAUGACUUUAUUUACCCAAUUGCAAACAGCAGUUAGGAGUAGAAUGCAUCCUUUUUACAUCACUCACAUUAGGGCUCAUACACCUCUUCCAGGACCUUUGACUGAAGGGAAUCAAAUGGCUGAUUGCCUAGUUGCUACUGCAAUAUUUAAUGCUAGACACUUUCACAAUUUAACCCAUGUUAAUGCCUCUGGUCUCAAACGCAGAUACAGCAUUACCUGGAAAGAAGCUAAAGCUAUUAUCCAGCGAUGCCCAUCUUACCAAAUGGGGUUAUGCUUGUAUUUCUCCAGGCCAAAAUCAACAGCCAAUUUGGAUACCAUCAAGAUACCUGAAACCUUAUCAUGAGCCAGAUGCCAAGGAAGAGACUCCAGGAGGAUCCCGAGGACCCCCCGGUUGCAGCCAUGUUGAGACUGAUGCUGAGGAGGACCCCAACUGUCAUGAGCAACACCCAUUGAACACAGCCACCUACCUGGGGACAGAUCAAGAAGCUGUCACAGAUGGCGGAAGAAAACCUGAGGAAAGCAGGACAACCAGUCACAAUGAAUAAUUUAAUGGUAGCUAUGAUAGUGGUUAUCACCACUGCCAUGAGUAUUCCUUCAAUAAGGGUUUGUAAUAAUGCCUGGAUGCAAUCACUCUAUGACACGGUUACACACGCUUUCUGAUCUCAGUAUUUAUUAUAAUAAAUCUGCUCCUAUAAUUGAGGCAUACCACCCUCAAAAACCUAUUUGGAAACAAAAUUGGACGCAGUUAGAAAAAAUGAACAUACUUGUUUAGGAAGAUUGCUUUGCAGAACAGGCAGAGGUGCUGCACAAUAAUUCCUAUGGAAUCAUUAAUUGGUUCUCUAAGGGGAUGUUUAGCUUGAAUUGCACCUCUCAGUCUGCAUGCCAUGGUCACACUAUAUUCAGAUGAUCUGAACAAAAUGGUCAGAUGGUAGAAAUGAUAAGAAGUAUGGCAAAAGUUCCUAUUAUCUGGAACCAUGGCGGUAUAGUGGCACCUCAACCUCAAAUGAUAUGGCCCACUGUAGGAGCUUAACAUAAGGAUUUAAAAUUAAAAGAACAAAUAUUUAAAGCAUCUCAGGAACACCUGUACUUAAUGCCAGAAACUGGAGUGCUUAAAGGAGCUGCCGACAAAUUAGCAGCUAGUAACCUAUUAAAAUGGAUAAAAACACUUGGACGCUCUGUGAUUUCAAUGAUGACUGUGCUUUUAAUCUAUGUUGUUUAUCUUCAUAUAGUUUGCAGAUGCAGAUCCCGAUUCCUGCAAGAAGUAGCUCACCGUGACAAAGCUGCCCUUGCUUUUAUCUCUUUACAAAUCAAAGAAGGGAGACAUGUUGGGAGCAAGCCCCCCAAAAUCUGGCCAUAAACUGGCCCCAAGACUGGCCAUAAACAAAAUCUCUGCAGCACUGUAACAUGUUCAUAAUGGCCCUAGCGCCCAAGCUGGAAGGUUGCAGGUUUAGGGAAUGAGGGCAAGGAAUACCUGGCCUGCCCAGGGUGGAAAACCACUUAAAGGCAUUCUUAAGCCACAAACAAUAGCAUGAACAAUCUGUGUCUUAAGAGUGUGUUCCUGCUGCAGUUAACUAGCCCAAUCUAUUCCUUUAAUUUGGCCCAUCCCUUCGUUUCCUAUAAGGGAUACUUUUAGCUAAUUUAAUAUCCAUAGAAACAAUGCUAAUGACUGGUUUGCUGUUAAUAAAUAUGUGGGUAAAUCUCUGUUAGGGGCUCUCAGCUCUGAAGGCUGUGAGACCCCUGAUUUUCCACUUCACACCUCUA
Molecule: long non-coding RNA, 7290 nt
Organism: Pan troglodytes (chimpanzee)
Lineage: Eukaryota; Metazoa; Chordata; Mammalia; Primates; Hominidae
Exons: 2
Source: RefSeq, a predicted model, not a curated record